CAAAGGAAGGAGCACACACCAGAUGGCACAUCCUGUUCUGACAGGGCGUGAUCUCCCUCUGCUAAAACAUUCUCUUCCAUCAGACUGGAAAAGAGAAACCUAAGGGGUGACCUAAUUGCGGCUUUACAGUACCUGAAGAGAGCCUACAAGAGAGAUGGAGAGGGACUUCUUACAAGAUGUGCAGUGACAGAAUAAGGGUGAAUGGCUCCAAACUGUCAGAAAGCUGACAGGCUCUGAUGCAGAAGCACAAGAAGACAGGCAGCAUGGUUUCUGUGGGAGAACUUGAGCAAGAGCUGAGUUCUCCUUUACUUGAUUUCAAGUAAAUCGAUUUCAAUUUUAAA
Molecule: non-coding RNA, 341 nt
Organism: Cyanistes caeruleus (blue tit)
Lineage: Eukaryota; Metazoa; Chordata; Aves; Passeriformes; Paridae
Source: RefSeq, a predicted model, not a curated record